CUGAUUUCUGCCGAGGCUGCCUGGCUUGGCCUCGACUCUCAAGCGCGUGGGGCGCCGGCAUUGUCGGAUCCCGCUCGGAAGGCGAAGCCAGCGGGCCCUGCGGAGGUCCACGUGGUCAAGCACCUGUGCAUGACCAGUCAGGGUUCACCUGUGUCUAUAAGUGCUGCACUAAACUCCUCAGUAUCCAGAACCACUGGACUCCAAAGAGAAGACUCCCUUGACCCGUGUAGCAGUCACUUUCUUGUUGCUGGGGAAGAAAAUGCUUGACCAGAAGCACCUUAAUAGAAGGAACGCUAUUUAUUUA
Jaculus jaculus (lesser Egyptian jerboa) is the source of this 304-nucleotide long non-coding RNA. RefSeq lists it as uncharacterized. The record is from RefSeq and is a predicted model, not a curated record. Lineage: Eukaryota; Metazoa; Chordata; Mammalia; Rodentia; Dipodidae. The transcript is spliced from 2 exons.